Molecule: non-coding RNA, 25 nt
Filed under: Cricetulus griseus (Chinese hamster)
Lineage: Eukaryota; Metazoa; Chordata; Mammalia; Rodentia; Cricetidae
Source: RNAcentral
AUGAGUCAGAACAUUGUGAGGCGUG